UCCAGACUCGUGUGUGGCUGCUUGCGCAGCUGCUCCGUGCCAGGCUUGGAGGACCAGGAGAAGGGGUAGUCACUUGCCACAGCUGGAGGCUGGAGCGUGUGGCACCACGGCUCGCCUCGCUGUGGUGGGUGCUGGCGACAGAGACGGCAGCUCGGCUGGACUGUUAAACAUUAUGUAAACUAAAGUACAGAACCCUGGCAAAACUGAAAGGCCCCAAUAUUAUUGGAACUCUUUUAUGAUUCAGCUUUUCAUGGAGUUCUACUUUAUCAUGAAAUCUAGCACACUGGUUCCUUUCAAUUAAUCCCUGAAGGUUAAUAUUUUUGGACCACAGUUGACCUGAGGUAACUGAAACUGCUGAAAACAAAACCAUGGAUAAGGGAGAACUCUUGUAUUAUCACAGAUUAUAUCAAAACUAUGGCUCUAGGCUUGUUAGAAGAGUUUAACAAGUGGAGCUUGAAGCUCUGUUUUUACCCUUUCUCCGGGCUGUUAUUGUCAUACAAAUUACAUCUUUAUACAUGUUGUGCUGAACAACAAGUCGAUUUGUAGGUGUUUCUUUGUGAAGUUAUCCUCUAAAUCAGAUUUGCUGAGAUUUGUUUUGUGGCCUAACAUCUGAUCUACCCUGAAGACACUUCCAUGUGCUGAUGGGGAGAAUGCAUACUCUUCAACUGUUGAGUGGGAUGUUCUGUGAAUAUCUGGUAAAAAAACUGAGGCUUAGAAACAUUGAAAAAAACUUGCUCAACGUUGCAAAACAAGAAAUUUGUGACACUGGAAUUGACAUCUACAAGGGACUGAUGUAACUAAUUGCUGGAUACAUGUCCCUCAAAGACACAGAAACAGAUCUUGUAUUCUAGUGGAUCUCCGGCACCCAGUGAGGGCCUGAAACAGAGUACAUGUCCAACAAAUAAUUAUUGAAGUAAAGAUUGACAUUUCAGGAGCAGAGAUUAAUAUUCAAAAACAAAGAUGAGAAUUUUGGCAGAAAAGUCAAAAUGAGUCCAGGAAAUGUAUUUGUGGGCCAUCCUACAGAAGUUAUAAUGAAUGGAAAAACGUGAAGAACCUUCUAUUCUCCCAAGGAUAUCGUGAGGGAAUCGUCACUGUAUCUGGAAGCCAGAUGCCAAAGAUGUUCAGUUAUUAUCAAUGUAUCUAUGCAUAAAGGAUUGAAAAUGAUUCUUCAUGCCAUAAUUUAUCUAAAUAUUCAUUCCUUUGGAACACUGUUUUCCACCAAUAGUAACAAGACUUGGAA
This 1240-nucleotide long non-coding RNA is filed under the name Homo sapiens (human). Its description in RNAcentral is "HSALNT0393200". The record is from RNAcentral. Lineage: Eukaryota; Metazoa; Chordata; Mammalia; Primates; Hominidae.